CAAUAGCGUAUAUUUAAGUUGUUGCAGUUAAAAAGCUCGUAGUGGGAUUUCGGUUAAGAGCGACCGGUCCGCCGUUUGGUGUGCACUGGUUGGUUUUAACUUCCUGUAGAGGACGUGCUCUGGGUUUAACGACCUGGACUCGGAGUCUACGUGGUUACUUUGAAAAAAUUAGAGUGUUCAAAGCGGGCUUACGCUUGAAUAUUUCAGCAUGGAAUAACACUAUAGGACUCCUGUCCUAUUUCGUUGGUCUCGGGACGGGAGUAAUGAUUAAGAGGAACAGUUGGGGGCAUUCGUAUUUCAUUGUCAGAGGUGAAAUUCUUGGAUUUAUGAAAGACGAACUUCUGCGAAAGCAUUUGCCAAGGAUGUUUUCAUUAA
This 375-nucleotide ribosomal RNA is filed under the name uncultured eukaryote. RNAcentral describes it as "partial 18S ribosomal RNA". It matches the Rfam family "Eukaryotic small subunit ribosomal RNA", at positions 592 to 976 of the family's 1831-position model. The record is from RNAcentral.